AACGAACGCUGGCGGUGUGCCUAACACAUGCAAGUCGAACGAGUCCUUCGGGUCAGGUGGCGCUCGUGUGCGUUACGCGUUGGGACCUUCCCUUAGGUUCGGAAUAACUCCCCGCAAGGGGUCCUAAUACCGGAUAACAUCUUCGCCCCAACGAUUUAUCGCCUUUUGAUGUGCCCGCGUUGGCUUACCUCGUUGGUAGGGUACACGCCUACCAAGGCAACGAUCCAUAGCUGGUCUGUAAGGAUGCUCAGCCACACUUGGACUGAGACACGGCCCAGACUCCUACGGGAGGCAGCAGUGGGGAAUAUUGGACAAGGGGCGAAAGCCUGAUCCAGCAAUGCCGCGUGAGAGAUGAAGGCCUUAGGGUUGUAAAGCUCUGUUACCCGGGAUGAUAAUGACAGUACCGGGAGAAUAAGCUACGGCUAACUCCGUG
This 433-nucleotide ribosomal RNA is filed under the name uncultured bacterium. RNAcentral describes it as "partial 16S ribosomal RNA". It matches the Rfam family "Bacterial small subunit ribosomal RNA", at positions 29 to 507 of the family's 1533-position model. The record is from RNAcentral.